UACGGAGGGUGCAAGCGUUAUCCGGAUUCACUGGGCGUAAAGGGCGCGUAGGCGGGAUGACAAGUCGGUCGUGAAAUCCCUGGGCUCAACUCAGGGGGGUCGGCCGAUACUGCCAUUCUUGAGGGAUGCAGAGGAGACUGGAAUUCCCGGUGUAGCGGUGAAAUGUGUAGAGAUCGGGAGGAACACCGGUGGCGAAGGCGGGUCUCUGGGCAUUCCCUGACGCUGAGGCGCGAAAGCGUGGGGAGCAAACGGG
Molecule: ribosomal RNA, 253 nt
Filed under: uncultured bacterium
Lineage: Bacteria
Description: partial 16S ribosomal RNA
Rfam family: Bacterial small subunit ribosomal RNA
Source: RNAcentral